Molecule: small RNA, 98 nt
Filed under: Carnobacterium sp.
Lineage: Bacteria; Bacillati; Bacillota; Bacilli; Lactobacillales; Carnobacteriaceae
Description: Guanidine-I sequence
Rfam family: Guanidine-I riboswitch aptamer
About the family: This family represents a conserved RNA structure found upstream of the ykkC and yxkD genes in Bacillus subtilis and related genes in other bacteria.
Source: RNAcentral
UCGAUUGUUUUCUAGGGUUCCGCAAUCAACUGAUUGGCCUGGUCCGAGAGAAAACGCACAGUUUUACUGUGUCACGGAGGGACAAAAGCCCGGGAGUA